CUUCUUCUUUUUUUUUUUUUUUAGUAGUUGAAGAAAAAGAAGAAGAAAGUCGGAUUUUCUUGAAGUUACGGACAACCGAAAUCAGCAGCAGCGCCGGCAGUAGAGCGGAGAACACCUUUAAAUGGAGCAGACAGAGGAGUGGAUAAAAUGACCACUUCAUCAUCGGGGCCAAAAAUACUGCUGCAGGCGGAUGGAGCGAAGAGUUGAGGCAGAAUUCCAUCUACAUGUUGCAUUUCUAUGUAAAAGUCACACAAGUUAAAAGAAGUCCUGUUCAAACACCAACGUACAAAUAUAAUAAUUUGAUC
This is a long non-coding RNA of Cyprinodon tularosa, 305 nucleotides long. RefSeq lists it as uncharacterized. The transcript has 2 exons. The record is from RefSeq and is a predicted model, not a curated record. Lineage: Eukaryota; Metazoa; Chordata; Actinopteri; Cyprinodontiformes; Cyprinodontidae.